This 790-nucleotide ribosomal RNA is filed under the name uncultured bacterium. Its description in RNAcentral is "bacterial SSU rRNA". It matches the Rfam family "Bacterial small subunit ribosomal RNA", at positions 590 to 1381 of the family's 1533-position model. The record is from RNAcentral.
UNAAGUUAAAGGCUGUGGCUCAACCAUAGUUCGCUUUGGAAACUGUCAAACUNGAGUGCAGAAGGGGAGAGUGGAAUUCCAUGUGUAGCGGUGAAAUGCGUAGAUAUAUGGAGGAACACCGGUGGCGAAAGCGGCUCUCUGGUCUGUAACUGACGCUGAGGCUCGAAAGCGUGGGGAGCGAACAGGAUUAGAUACCCUGGUAGUNCACGCCGUAAACGAUGAGUGCUAGGUGUUGGAUCCUUUCCGGGAUUCAGUGCCGCAGCUAACGCAUUAAGCACUCCGCCUGGGGAGUACGACCGCAAGGUUGAAACUCAAAGGAAUUGACGGGGGCCCGCACAAGCGGUGGAGCAUGUGGUUUAAUUCGAAGCAACGCGAAGAACCUUACCAGGUCUUGACAUCCCGAUGCUAUUUCUAGAGAUAGGAAGUUACUUCGGUACAUCGGUGACAGGUGGUGCAUGGUUGUCGUCAGCUCGUGUCGUGAGAUGUUGGGUUNNNNNNCGCAACGAGCGCAACCCCUAUUGUUAGUUGCCAUCAUUCAGUUGGGCACUCUAGCGAGACUGCCGGUAAUAAACCGGAGGAAGGUGGGGAUGACGUCAAAUCAUCAUGCCCCUUAUGACCUGGGCUACACACGUGCUACAAUGGUUGGUACAACGAGUUGCGAGUCGGUGACGGCGAGCUAAUCUCUUAAAGCCAAUCUCAGUUCGGAUUGUAGGCUGCAACUCGCCUACAUGAAGUCGGAAUCGCUAGUAAUCGCGGAUCAGCACGCCGCGGUGAAUACGUUCCCGGGCCU